AUAUAUAAAGUAAUUAUUUACGUUUAAUUUCGGCUUAAAAUUUUUGAUUUAUGUCAUAUAUAUA
This 64-nucleotide transfer RNA is filed under the name Andrena nitida. Its description in RNAcentral is "tRNA-Arg". The record is from RNAcentral. Lineage: Eukaryota; Metazoa; Arthropoda; Insecta; Hymenoptera; Andrenidae.